This 144-nucleotide microRNA precursor is filed under the name Podarcis lilfordi (Lilford's wall lizard). Lineage: Eukaryota; Metazoa; Chordata; Lepidosauria; Squamata; Lacertidae. The record is from RNAcentral.
AUUUAGCGAGCUGAGUGGGGAGGAGAGAGGGACAGAGAGCCUGCUUGCUUUAAAGGAGCCAACCGGACUCUCCUCUCCCGCUUUACUCCUUUAAAGCAAGCAGGCUCUCUGUCCCUCUCUCCUCCCCACUCAGCGGCUCUUCUC